CUGAUUAUUAGCACCAUUCAACGAAUGGUGGGUUAGCGCGCGUCUGGUGGUAGCGACCGAAACCCGCCCCAAGAGGCGGGUUUU
This 84-nucleotide small RNA is filed under the name Paraburkholderia sp. BL10I2N1. Its description in RNAcentral is "Pseudomonas sRNA P9". It matches the Rfam family "Pseudomonas sRNA P9". From Rfam's summary of the family: P9 appears to be conserved in several Pseudomonas species in addition to Bordetella spp. In both Pseudomonas and Bordetella spp P9 appears to be located upstream of a predicted threonine dehydratase gene. P9 has a predicted Rho independent terminator at the 3' end but the function of P9 is unknown. Lineage: Bacteria; Pseudomonadati; Pseudomonadota; Betaproteobacteria; Burkholderiales; Burkholderiaceae. The record is from Rfam by way of RNAcentral.